RNAcentral lists this small RNA (16 nucleotides) under Arabidopsis thaliana (thale cress). RNAcentral describes it as "ATSL112170". The record is from RNAcentral. Lineage: Eukaryota; Viridiplantae; Streptophyta; Magnoliopsida; Brassicales; Brassicaceae.
UUUUUUGUAUUGUUUU